This is a long non-coding RNA of Catharus ustulatus (Swainson's thrush), 2205 nucleotides long. RefSeq lists it as uncharacterized. NCBI's taxonomy places the organism in Eukaryota, Metazoa, Chordata, Aves, Passeriformes, Turdidae. The record is from RefSeq and is a predicted model, not a curated record. The transcript is spliced from 4 exons.
GGGGUGUUGUGUUUGCGAUCUCUGCCUUGGUACCUAAGGAGGAAGAGGAGGAGGAGGAGGGUGUGUUACUGAAUGGUGGCUAAAGCCUCCUCGGGACGGCGCUGAGGUGAAACAGGCUGAACCCGACUGAUGUGGCUCCUCUCUCGGUUGGACCCAGUGCCCUAAGCAGCCGAUGAGAGACCCCCGGCCGCCCGGCUCGCAGGUUGCACACAUGAAGUGAACAGAGGGGGCUUGAUCCUGCCAGACCCUUCUCGAUAGUCUGAUAAUUAUGUAAGAACACGAAGAAAUGUGAGGGGAAGUAGAACCAUGAAGCAGAAGGAAGUGCACUCACUGGUAAAAAUGAGGUAUCUUUUUAGUGCUGAAAUGGACACGCUAAUUGUGAACUAUGUGGUAAGGAGCUCCUUCUAAAAUAUACAGCAGUGUAUUUACCAGAAUUUAACAGGCUGUGUACUUUAAGGCUUCUCUUGCCUGUAAUGAUGUGAACAAACCUUGCAAGUCACAUUGCCAGCUCAAGAUCCAGCACAGCACGUAACAGCAGCACUGAAACAGCCCCUGCCACUAGGCAAGGGACAGAAAGGAGAUGGUGACCUGCAACGGGAUGAGAGACCUCACUUACCAGGAUUUGCUCACGGUUUUGCUUCUGGCAACUAACAUUUCCAUUUUUCUCAAAGCUUCUACAUUCGUGUCAUCAGACAAACCCCCAUGAGUGGUGGCAGAGCAAACUGUAGCCUUCAUUUUCAAGUUUGAAGAGAAAAAAUUAUUUACAUGUCUAAAUCCCAGAACCAGCUGUUCAGAGGUCACUCUUUGUUGCCCGCUGCUAUGAACCAUUAUGGCUUCCAAAAGCUCUAAAAGAAAUGGGACAUAGUCUGGGGCAGAGAAUUCUCAUUGUUUUAAGUUUGUUUAAAUUCUAUUUCAUUGUAUUAUAUGAUUCUUGUCCUACCAGAGGAACAUGGAAGAUGGGAUGUUUCUGUCAUUGCUUGCACGCAUGGCUACUUAAAUUGACUGUCAGACCUUGCGGGACAGAUCUUUGACCCUUCUUCAGAUUGUUUUAAACUGAAGGACAUGAUAUUUUAAUUGAUUAGAACUCUAGACUAUAUUUAAAGGAAAAUUAUUGAUUCAUGUAAUGAAUUUUACUGUUUAAUCGCCCUUCCACCUCACUAUUUAUAUCUUUUUCGUUACAAAUUUAGGCCAAUGUUUAACUUAAUGUUUUAAUGCUGCCGUGUCUUUUUUUCCCCUUUCCUGUUUUAGACUUGUUUUCGUGAAUCAAACCCUUACAUUUAGUGACAAUUAGUACAAUUCCCAGAUAUAUCACUGUCCUAAGUGUGGGAAUGUAGAUGUCAAGGGGAAACACAAGUAAUGAUUUUUUUUCUUUUCCAUUCACAAUGGAAACACUAAGACAUCAAGGUUAUUCAACAGAAAUGAAUAAAUGCCUGGAAAGUUAUUAUUUUUCCAAGCUGCAAGAGGAUCUCUGAAAUAAUAAAGAUUACAUAAAAAAAAAACCUAGAGAAAUUGUCUAAUUUUCUUUAAAAAAUGAUAGGAAACAACAAAAAAAAAGUCAUUUCACAGUGAAGAAAAUCAUCAGGCAGGGAAAAGAAAGAUUUGCUUGACAGAGCGUUAGGGUAGCUUGAAAGAACAAUCCAGGGCUUGUUCUUUGCUGCUACUUAUGUGUUGGGCAUUUAAUUUUAGUUGCCCUGUCGGCAAAUAGGAGAUGAUAAUUCCCUUUUUGCAGUGUUGUGCAGUCUUUAGAAGUUUCACAAUAAAAGAGAAAAGUGUUUCAUGUGGUAUUUAAAAUUUCCUGUUGGACCUCAUGAUUUUAAAAUAAAAGUUUACACUACACAUCCUGGAGGAGAUGGCUCUCUAGGGCAGUGUAGGCAAUGUUUAAGUGUGGUGUUUUUGGGGUUUACUUCUUUUUGUUGUUUUAUUUUUUAAACUGUUUAAUGGACUGAUUUUUGGUAUCCUCUCUGGAACGUGCAGGUCUCUGGAGACUGAUAGAAAUGAGGGUUGCUUUGAAUAAAAAAGCCUUCUCUGGGAGAUCCCAUCUUCAUCAGAAUUCUGUCAUCCUCACAAAAACUUGAAAUUUAGUAUGGCUCAUAUCUUGUAUUUCAGCUACUAAACAUUUUGUCUGGCUAACAUCUUAAAUGCCAUAGCUUUCCCAUUGGAUACGCAGGCUGAUUUAAUUACUAUUUCUUGACAGAACAAGAUUUU